GAUGAACGCUAGCGGCAGGCUUAAUACAUGCAAGUCGAGGGGCAGCACAGGUAGCAAUACUGGGUGGCGACCGGCAAACGGGUGAGGAACACGUACGCAACCUCCCUUCAAAUGAGGAAU
RNAcentral lists this ribosomal RNA (120 nucleotides) under uncultured bacterium. RNAcentral's name for it is "partial 16S ribosomal RNA". It matches the Rfam family "Bacterial small subunit ribosomal RNA", at positions 28 to 144 of the family's 1533-position model. The record is from RNAcentral.